Molecule: long non-coding RNA, 6504 nt
Filed under: Salvia miltiorrhiza (redroot sage)
Lineage: Eukaryota; Viridiplantae; Streptophyta; Magnoliopsida; Lamiales; Lamiaceae
Description: long non-coding RNA (SMIL_LNC012107)
Source: RNAcentral
AAAGGAGGAGGUGUAAUGUCUUGAGGAAUUUCGCCCUAUUUCUCUUAUCACUAGUCUUUACAAGAUCAUUGCGAAGAUCUUAGCAAACAGGAUGAGGGCGGUCAUCGAUUCAAUCAUCUCAGAAAACCAAAGUGCUUUUAUCAGCGAUAGGUUCAUCCUUGAUGGAGCAGUGAUCCUUAAUGAGGCUGUCACCGAAGCUAAGAGAAUGAGGCUUAAGAGAAUUUUCUUUAAGAUAGACUUCGCCAAAGCCUAUGACUCACUUGAAUGGGAUUUCCUUGAUAUUAUGAUGCAACGCUUCAACUUCGACCCCCUUUGGAGGAAAUGGAUCAAAGGAUGCCUUGAGUCAGCCUCGGCGAACAUUCUUAUCAACGGCUCACCAUCGGGAGAAUUCCAGCUUCAACGAGGCCUCAGACAGGGAGACCCGCUGUCUCCGUUCCUUUUCCUAGUUGCAGCUGAGGGAUUACAUUCGCUGAUGAACAUUGCAACGGAGAAAAAGUUCAUACGACCAGCCGAAAUUGGAAAAGAAAGAAUCAAAAUCUCACAUCUCCAAUAUGCCGACGACACCAUUUUUGUGCUCGAUGAUCAGGUUAGUAAUGCUGAAUCUUUGAAGUUUAUUCUGAGUAUUUUUCAGUUAUUGUCGGGGCUCACGGUAAACUUUGAUAAAAGUUUUCUUUAUGGUGUGGAGAUGGAGGAUGUGGAAAUCGAGAGUAUGGCUGGAAUCUUGAACUGCAAGGUCGGCUCUUUUCCUUUCAAAUACUUGGGACUCAAAAUCGGCGGGCGUGAUAGAAGUGUUGUCAAUUGGAAUUCGAUUGUGGAGAAGGUUAAAAAAAGAGUGGCUGGCUGGAAGAACAGAAAUCUUUCCUUUGCUGGGCGUACCACCUUGGUAAAAGCAGUCUUGCAGGCAAUCCCGAUCUACCAACUAUCUUUUUCGUUGAUACCUAAGGAAACCAUUAAAUCUCUUACCUCUAUCUUCAGCAAAUUUCUCUGGGGAGGGAGUGGCAGUAACGGGCAGAUUGUGUGGGUUAAGUGGAGUGACCUGUGCAUGGAAAAAGAGGAAGGGGGACUCGGUCUCAGGAAUCUAGAGUGGUUUAACUGGGCUUUGGUCUUAAAGUGGAUUUGGAGAUAUCUUCGUGGGAAAGGGAAGUUAUGGGCAAGAGUUGUGAAAUCGAUUUACGGCGACAUCGAGUGGGGGGAUGCAGGAAUGAAACUGCCGACAACAGGUAAGGCAAGGACGGGAUGGUGGCCUAAAGUGAUCUCGCUGUGUGAGAGACCAUCGAACAGAUGGUUCGUCAGCCAUCUUAAAUGCUAUAUCGGCGAUGGGAGGAAGACCAGCUCUGGAAGCAAAAUUGGACAGGUACGACAUCUCUUAAAUCUGAAUUUCCGAGAUUGUUUCACCUAAGUGCAAACAAAGAGGCGACGGUGAGUGAGAUGGGAAAAUGGACGGACGGAGGGUGGGUCUGGGAUUUGAAGUGGAGGCGACAACUUUUCCAGAGAGAGGCUGAGAUCACUAAUGACCUUCUGUCUUUUAUUUCUGGAGUUAAGCUUGUGGCAGGAACCGAAGACGGAUGGAGUUGGAGUGCAGCCACAAACGGUAACUUCUCAACAAAAUCGGCCUAUAACUGCAUCAAGGACUCGAUGAAUCAGGAAGCGACGCCGCAUCCCAACAAGGAACUGCUUGCAAAAGUGUGGAAAAUCCUGGCACCACAGAAAGCGAGAAUGACGGCAUGGAGAGCUCUGAGAAAUAGACUUCCAACCUGUGAUAACCUGAAGAGAAGAAACAUCCCGCUCGAUAAGGUUGAGGUUAUGUGUAACGUGUGCUGCCAUCAAACUGAAACAGCUGAUCAUGUGCUCUUAACCUGUCCGAAAGCGGAAGCCGUGUGGAAUGAAAUUCAAAAGUGGCUGGGAAUUUCAGACGUGCGACACCAUUCUUUAAUCACACAUUUCGAAUCCUUCACUCAUUUGGGCAGGAGCAAGAGGAGCUGGAAUUUUCUAUCGGCGCUUUGGGUUUGUUACGUUUGGCUCAUGUGGAAGUGGCGAAAUGAAGGUAGAUUCGAAUGCAAGAACGGAGAAAUCAAGAGCAUGAUGGGGGAGCUUAAAGCUAGAAUGUGGAGUUGGUGUAAAGUGUUUGAGAUGAUGGACAAGGACAGCAAGUUUUCCUUUUGGAUGACUCGGGAAAUUCACUCUCUUGUGUUGUAAUUUUACUGGUACCUCUGGUACCUCUUUUGGUGAUUUAUAAAAUCUUUUUUCUGAUAAAAAAAAAGAAUAUAAUAACCAAAUACCUGGUACAAGAUUGCCCGAGUUAUCCGUCCUUGCGACUACAACUACUUAAAAUGAUAGAAUAUUUAGCAAACUAAAAGCAAAACAUAAAGACAAGUGUGUUUGGGAUGCACAACUAUAAGAGUAAAUGACAAUGUGGGAGCAAAAGUUCUCUCCAGGCUGCAUCUUCUUCAUUUUAAUAGUGGUGACUGGUGAAGGGCAAACCCUAGCCGUGCUAGUUUUCGAAUCUUCAUCAUGAUCUUCUUUCCUUGUUUAGCUCGAUUCUUGAUUGAUCUGGUUGAAGAUGUACUUCCAACUGUAUUCUUAAGUCAACUAUUUCUCUUUCUCGAUCCUUCCAGUCCCUUUUGCCUUGGUGAACUUUCUUUUUUUUAAUCUUUCCAUUCAAACGGCUGGCUAUUGCUGCUUAUGGUAAUGGUCGGACCAGCUAUUUCUUCUGGUGUGCCUCAUACCGGGUGGUACACUUUGGAGUUUCCCGCGCCUCAAAUAUGAUACUGAGGGGUACUUCGCCUCGACUCCUUCCUGGUAAACAUGACAUAAUGCAAUUGUGGGCUAGUACAGCCCAUCCCGACCAUAUUAUGCGUAUUCGCCCCUUGCUGGGGUUCUCCUCUUGGAAACCUUGUUUUCUCCUCAAAAGAUCAAGAUAGGCACAAUAAAAAGGAAAAAAUAAGGUCAAAUGGCCUAAAAGUCGAAGACGCAUCAAGUUCAUAAAAAGUAAAUCCCUUUUAAGACAUUUAAAUCAGCUAAAAAAUCAUAACCUGGCGGAUAAAUUCAAGAAAAUAUUAAUGAGCGAGUGAAAUAGAAGCUCUCUAUCCCUUUUUACAUGCUUUUCACCGAGUAAAACUUCGAAUAAUUGCUAGAUUUAACGUUAUGGGUCAAAAAUAACUAAACUUAAAAACAUAGAACCAUGGAUAGAAAUGUGAGAGUUAUAUUGCUAGAUUUAUACUACUUUACAUGACAAAGGUAUUUUACGUCCACUGCAUGUAUUCAUGAGUGCGGCGUCUGCCAAAUCAAGUAAAUGUAUCCAAUAACUAAUUAUUUGUCCUCUUGUGACAAGGCUGUUCAUUGAGGGACUCGUGUUUUCUGUGAUCAUCCUACAGUUAUAGGAUGUAGCCAUGUAACUUAACUAUAAUGUACAACCUUGUGAAUUAUCUAAGGUUGUGGGUGGUCUAGCUCUAUUAAUUGUCUAGUCAUGUAAGCUCUCUUACGUCUCGUUACACUACCCACUUAAUCCUAGAAUCUCUACAUACAGGAAUAAGUGGGCAGUUGUAGAGAAAUGAAUAAAAUAUCCUUGCCCUUGUUUUGAUGAUACCAAAACCCCUUAGAUCCUUUCUAUAGCUUUAGUAUUUUUCGUUGAACUCAAGUGUUAGAGUUCAAAGUGCUUAGAAUAGGAUUCUGACUUGUUGACUGAUGGACAUAAGACCGCGCAACUGAAGUCAUUCUGACUGAAGCAUCAUGAGACUUUUCCUAACUGAAAAUUGAAUGCAAGUACCAAUCAGAAGCUACCCAAAGGAUUCAUGUCAUCGUAGAACUGAAGCAAAGUGAAAAUGCUAACAACCUUUCUACUCUCGAUUGAACCAAGGAGUAUCAGACACGCAGCAUUAAAUGCCAUGUACGGAGCAUUAAAUGCAGGGGAUUUGACGAUCGUCCUUGCAAGGACCAAACUUUCUCUUUUUGUGUAAAUCUGCAGAAGUAACAAGCUCCAAGACUACUCCGAUUCAAAUUCAAGUUUGAAUGAGCUUGCGAAGAUUUCCACCUCAGCUCAUGAAGUGACAACACCUCACAACGGCAGGAAUUUCAAAGACCUUCUCUCCAACGGAACUAUUCGGAACUCCACCUAUAAAUAGCGCCGAGGAUCAACCGCAAAUCUUCACUGAUUCAAUUACAUAGCCAAAGCUCUACAGAAAUUACUACUCAAGCUCAACUGUUCACAAAAGAUUGAAUCGAAGAAGAGAGUCAUCAAAGCUUAAGUCAUCAGAAUAUCUGAUCACCAAAACUCUCUUAACUUUCUAGGCAUAUAUCUCAUACACAUCCUAAGCCUAGAAUUUGAUUACGCGAGAGCCUAUUCUCAAGUAAUCCUAGUUGGAAGAUAAGUUCAAACCCCUUUUUGUUUAGAGUUAAGUGUUUGAAGUUAGAACGAGUUCAGACCAGUGUUCUGACUCAAAGUUCUUAGUGUGUGUUAUCGCACUAAGAGGAGAAAGAGAAAUCCAACCCAGUGUGUUGGUAUUGGAACGGUUGUUUCAGUUGUUCAAGUUUGCUUUGCACCCAUAAGCAUUGCAGUCAGGUUUGCUGUGCACCCGUAAGCACAAGCGAGUGAUUGUCAGAUCAUUCUCUGGCCGUGGAUGUAGGAACGUUGUUUUCCGAACCACGUAAAAAUCCCUUGUGUUCGUACUUGCUUUUAUAUUCAGUACUUGCGCAUAUCUCUGUUUCUCUAAUACUGACUAACUGAAAAGAGUAACUAAGGGAUUCUCUGUAGAAAGAAAAUCUUUCAAGACUAUCUCACUAUGUUUAAUAUUCCGAUGUUAGAGUUAUAGGUUUAACUAAUCAAUCUUUAGAUAGUCAAUUAAAUAAGUAACUCUACUCUGUUUUACUUACGACUGAAGCUUUACUUGGACUGAAGUUAAUUGACCAGCUCAAUUAACUGAAGUCACCCACUGAACCUUUGUUUCAGUAUGGAUUGCCUCCUCUUGUCAACUGAACCGUACACUUUCAAAGCAGUAAAACUCUCUUUCAGUACAAAGGUAUUUGUUUUAAGUAAACAUCUUACAAAAAUAGCCUACAAGUGUAUUCCUCCCUUCCAUACACCUGUCCUUUCAACCCUCAAGGACCCAAUAGUUGUUUCAUGAACGUAAGUGAAGUAAAUCAUUUUUUAUAGAUUAAAACAUAAUAUUCUUUGUUCUAGGUUCAUCUUGUUAAAAAAUGGAAUUUGAGUAAUGAAUCUCCACCAAUUUGUGUGGGCAUUUGAUAUUCAUGUGUGUUGGGUAUCUUCGCCUUGCCGGGAUUACUCCACUUGUUUCCCGAACCUCCGGUCCGUCUCACUUCGUGCUCAGGCACUUCUUCUUCUUCUAUUCUUCUCUUCUCAGCUCCUCCUUCCUUCUGUCAGAUCUGCACAAAAAGGGCAAGCAAGGAGUAACAAGAUACAAGAAAGUAAAGAAAAGAGAUAAAGAAGUAAAAGUUCAGAGAAGGGGAAAAGGUGUCCUCGGGACACAGGGGGCUCAGAUUUUCCCCUUUAACUCAGCAACCCUUCCGGCAGCUGAAUGAUCAACGGCGAGGUAAGGACAAUGGAGCAGCUUCACAGAUCUCAACAGAGCCACCAACAGCAGGAGCCAAGGUCAGAACUCCGGCAGCUCAGAUCUUCUCAGGUAAUCACCAAACAGGGCUCCGAUGGUCAGGAAAAACCCGGUGAUACCUCCACCCACGUCUGGGAAUCCCGUAUUAUCAAGGAGUUACUCACAAAGGAAUAGCAGAGCCUUUCAGUCCUUGAUAAUACGUAUUCCCGGCAUGAGAAAGCAUCAGAGAUUUAAAGGGAAGAGGGAGGAGCUGGACAACAGUAAUGGAGAUGGAGGAACCGAGGGGAUGGGCGGUGGAGCGGCGGAGAAGAUGGAGAGUCAGGGAGAGAGAGGGAUUAGGGUUUGGGAGAGAGAGCGGCGCUGAGUGAAAGUGAGAGAGAGAGAGAAGCGGGAGUAAUAUAUCCGGGGUGUGAGUGGGCUAGGGUUAAGGGGAUGGGCUGGGAUGGGAGAUUGGGCUCGGUUCUGGGCCCUGAAGUUGGCCCAGACCCAAAAAGAAAAAGAAAGGGAGAAGGGAAUGAGAAAUGGGCCAACCUCACAUAUCCACCUUUGGCACAUUGAUCAUUCUGUCACCAGGGAAGGGUCAUCAAUAGAGUUGGAGUUAUCAUCACAGCCCAAUUUUUACUCUUAUCUGCCACAAAGUCAAGACAAGAGAGGGUGAGAGAAAUAUUAAGCAUAUUUAACUCAGUCUCAAACCACAGAGACCAACCCAGGGUAAUCACCAAUUUCUCAAACCCAAAGGGUUAUCAUUGAAGACACACACACACAAAAGAUCCACUCAAGGAACACAAGGGAAAAGAAAAGAACAAGACUCAGAGACACGAGAACAAAACAGAACUCUCAACAAAACAGACACACAGGGUAAGAGAGAACAUGCAGAGCAGGCAAACACAGGACAAGCAGAGGAACAGACUCAACACAUGCAGCAAAAACAACAGAAAAG